AGAGUUUGAUCAUGGCUCAGAACGAACGCUGGCGGCGUGGAUAAGACAUGCAAGUCGAACGCUGACAUUCAGGUAGCAAUAUUUGGAUGUCGGAGUGGCGCAAGGGUGCGUAACACGUGGGUAAUUUGCCGUAAAGUCUGGGAUAACUUGCUGAAAGGCGAGCUAAUACCGGAUGUGAAUUCUUGAAGGCAUCUUUAGGAAUUCAAAGUUGGGGACCGCAAGGCCUGACGCUUUACGAUAAGCCCGCGGCCUAUCAGCUAGUUGGUGAGGUAACGGCUCACCAAGGCUAAGACGGGUAGCUGGUCUGAGAGGACGACCAGCCUCACUGGAACUGAGACACGGUCCAGACACCUACGGGUGGCAGCAGUCGAGAAUUUUUCUCAAUGGGCGAAAGCCUGAAGGAGCGACGCCGCGUGGGGGAUGAAUGGCUUCGGCCCGUAAACCCCUGUCAUUUGUGAACAAAUUGCUUCACCUAACACGUGAAGCAUUGAUUGUAACGGAAGAGGAAGGGACGGCUAACUCUGUGCCAGCAGCCGCGGUAAUACAGAGGUCCCAAGCGUUGUUCGGAUUCACUGGGCGUAAAGGGUGCGUAGGCGGUUUGAUAAGUCUGAUGUGAAAUCCCGCAGCUUAACUGCGGAACUGCAUUGGAAACUAUUUGACUAGAGGAAUGGAGGGGAGACUGGAAUACUUGGUGUAGCAGUGAAAUGCGUAGAUAUCAAGUGGAACACCAGUGGCGAAGGCGAGUCUCUGGACAUUUCCUGACGCUGAGGCACGAAAGCCAGGGGAGCAAACGGGAUUAGAUACCCCCGUAGUCC
RNAcentral lists this ribosomal RNA (815 nucleotides) under uncultured bacterium. RNAcentral's name for it is "bacterial SSU rRNA". It matches the Rfam family "Bacterial small subunit ribosomal RNA", at positions 8 to 796 of the family's 1533-position model. The record is from RNAcentral.